GACUGCGUCGCUUAGUGGUUAGAGCAUCUCGUUGUGGUUCUUGUCCCGAGAAGACGGGUGUUCGAUUCACCCCGCGGUCA
Molecule: non-coding RNA, 80 nt
Organism: Tulasnella sp. 427
Lineage: Eukaryota; Fungi; Basidiomycota; Agaricomycetes; Cantharellales; Tulasnellaceae
Source: the annotation of a GenBank genome assembly